GUCGAACUCUGGCAUGCUGUGCACGUGUUCCUUUGGUCCAGCCAUGUUUAACCCGGGUGCAAGUGGAUGGAAAGUUCUAGAACAACGAAGUGGCUACAAGAUCACGGGUGUACCCAGUCCCCAAAGAGGCCUGCUUGAAGACAUGGCAGUUGCACAUCUCUGUGUUUCUGUGUGCUGAGAAUUCAUGGCUACCUCAGCUGAGAUUUGAUGCAGUCAUGUGGAUGGCUUAUUUGUGAUAAUGGUCUACUGACGAGAAUCGAAGACACCAGUGGCAUGUCGAGCCCAGUAUGUGCGGAUACAGUCACCUGGAGGGCUUAUUUGUUAUAAUGGUCUACUGAUAGACUUGAAGACCACCAGUGGCAUGUCGCACCCAGUAUGUGCAGAUACAGUCACCUGGAGGGCUUAUUUGUGAUAAUGGUCUACUGACGAGAAUCGAAGACCACCAGUGGCAUGUCGAGCCCAGUAUGUGCAGAUACAGUCACCUGGAGGGCUUAUUUGUGAUAAUGGUCUACUGACGAGAAUCGUACGACAUAGUUGACUCCACCAGGCUGUCUGUAGGAUGCGGCCAUGUCAGUCCCCAGGGGACCUUGAGUCUGGACACCAGUGAAUUGAUGUGGUGGCCACGCCUCCUGUACUGUGACUUCAUCUGAUAUUUGCAAGACUUUGCACAAGUCAAUUUAUAAGACUUGUACUUUCAUAUAUAUUUUUUUUGUGAAUUGCAUGUCAUGCUUUAGAAAAAGCAGUGGAAUAAAACUUGGUUUGUUUGUAAAAUCAAAGGUUGCCUUCUGUUUUUGUUUCACCUGAUAUAUUUAACGUAGCAUUUACUCUUUUUAAAUGUAUGUGGUAUGUUAUGAGGACUUGACCCAUUCUUGAUGGGCGGUCAGCUGAUUACAGAGCAUUAUGAUCUCAUUGUAAGCACGCAGGCCUGGGAAACCUUGCCAUAAGAUUGCAGAGUUAAUCGGCAAACGCUUU
Molecule: long non-coding RNA, 972 nt
Organism: Clupea harengus (Atlantic herring)
Lineage: Eukaryota; Metazoa; Chordata; Actinopteri; Clupeiformes; Clupeidae
Source: Ensembl